GUGAGGAAUAUUGGUCAAUGGGCGGGAGCCUGAACCAGCCAAGUCGCGUGAAGGAAGAAGGAUCUAUGGUUCGUAAACUUCUUUUGCAGGGGAAUAAAGUGCAGGACGUGUCCUGUUUUGUAUGUACCCUGAGAAUAAGGAUCGGCUAACUCCGUGCCAGCAGCCGCGGUAAUACGGAGGAUCCGAGCGUUAUCCGGCUUUAUUGGGUUUAAAGGGUGCGUAGGUGGUUUGAUAAGUCAGCGGUGAAAGUUUGCAGCUUAACUGUAAAAAUGCCGUUGAAACUGUCGGACUUGAGUGUAAAUGAGGUAGGCGGAAUGCGUGGUGUAGCGGUGAAAUGCAUAGAUAUCACGCAGAACUCCGAUUGCGAAGGCAGCUUACUAAGCUACAACUGACACUGAAGCACGAAAGCGUGGGGAUCAAACAGGAUUAGAUACCCCGGUAGUCC
This 445-nucleotide ribosomal RNA is filed under the name uncultured bacterium. RNAcentral's name for it is "partial 16S ribosomal RNA". It matches the Rfam family "Bacterial small subunit ribosomal RNA", at positions 354 to 796 of the family's 1533-position model. The record is from RNAcentral.